RNAcentral lists this transfer RNA (67 nucleotides) under Sinohyriopsis cumingii. RNAcentral's name for it is "Hyriopsis cumingii tRNA-Ser". Lineage: Eukaryota; Metazoa; Mollusca; Bivalvia; Unionida; Unionidae. The record is from RNAcentral.
GAGAAUUGGUCGAACCUAUCUAGAGCUUCUAACUCAAGAAAAAGAGGUUUAACUCCUUUUACUUCUC